RNAcentral lists this long non-coding RNA (4134 nucleotides) under Triticum aestivum (bread wheat). RNAcentral describes it as "long non-coding RNA (TAES_LNC022004)". Lineage: Eukaryota; Viridiplantae; Streptophyta; Magnoliopsida; Poales; Poaceae. The record is from RNAcentral.
AAAAAAAAGUUAGCAGCCAGAAAUUCGCAGGUUUUCAAUGCUCAGCGAAGAACACAAAUAUCGUCCUUACGUUACACCAAAAUCUAUGGCUAAAUCCUCCACAACGUGCUUGAAACCAUUUAACAUAGCAUCAGGGAAAUCAUACUCCACAUCUGCAAGAAUAAAAUAAAAUGGAUCAAUCUGGGAACCAAGCAACAACAGGCCAGAGCGUAAGAAAUGAAAUGAAUGGCAUUGAAAACUACGAUUUCGUAUAUAACUGAUAUGCAAGAAGGCUACUAUAAUACAAAUAAUUAAUUACAUCUAAUGUGGAUCUUAUUGACUUCUCAUUGCUCAAGAAAAAAAACAAUCACCAUUUUUAGUCACCUGUACUUCAAAACACAUUAUUUCACCAGAUAGAUGGGCACAGAUUAUCCAUGAUGAAAGUGUCAUUAUGACAUGAAUGCACAAAGACAACAGAAGCAAAUUAUGUAAGCUUCCCACUAAUUUUAUUAUUUUUACACAAAUGAAAUACUCAGCAGAUGUUAUUAUUUCUUCUCAGUUAAAUUGAGAGAAAUAUCCAAUGAAACUUGAGGGAGAAAAAUGAGGAUAUGUGACCCACUGAUAGUCUGCUCGCCCGAGCUAUUGGUGGAAUUUACUAUUGUGGCUAUAAAUAGUUACGGAUUUGAUAAUAGUAUAUUCUGAUAGUUGCUAUGAAAACUCUAUGAAGGCAAACUACCAACAAACUCUAUGAAGGCAAACUACCAACAACGCGUUCAACUCUAGAAGAAAACUGGAAAAUUUGAGGGACAAAGCAAAAACUUUAUGUUGGCGGCAAUACUCCUCUAAAUGGCAUAUACUGUCAGACUCUAUUUUGUGCUGAAGAUUCAGAAACCGAAAUCUGAUAAGUAGUACAAUCCAGGAAAAAACAACGAUCUUUUAAUUACAAAGAAUACAUUUAACUGAAGUUUAGGGUUCAUGAGCAACAACAAUCUAGAUUCCUGUGUCCCUACAGUAAUACAUAUAAAUGAAGCACUCUCGACUCUAGUGUAAAAACUGAAAAAUAUAAAUGGGAUCUCUACAGUAAUACAUAUAAAUGAAGCACUCUAGUGUAAAAACUGAAAAAUAUAAAUGGGAUCUCAGAAGAAAGCUAAGCAGUGGUGAGGUCGAAUAUGCAAACUCAAUAUAGAAAUCAACAUUUAUUUUAGUCGACAAAUAUCCAACUGAUGAUUGGAAAUUGUUGUGAGUCCACUUAUUUCUAGCAAUUGGUGUGAUGUGUAGGAUUAAUCAGCUAAAACACACGGUGGGGGCCUACUUGACCAGCUUUCCAGCAAGCAUCGCAUCUUCCGCAUCCUGGACGCGUUCAGUACUCAGUCGCGGGUUAAGCAUUUAAUCAGAACUUCUUGAAACAAUAAGAUAUCAAGUAUUCUCCCUAUAAUUAUUCAAGGAAUGCCCGUUGAGCAGUUAAUACAGAAUGCACAUCAAACUACAGUGCAUCGGUAGUAUAUGACAAAUAAAGGCGCGUGCAUAAUCUGGAAGACAACCAUGCUAUCAUAGUCAUGAAGCAGGGAAGACAACAUAUGAAAUCUGAACUCACAUCAUUAUAAUGUAUAUGCUUUGCUUUCUUCUUUCUUCCAUGUCCUGUAUUCAGCUCUUCCACAAGUUCCUCUUCAUCUUUCACUUCAACAAAUUUCUGCUGAACCAAAAGAAAACACCACCAAUGUCAACAAUCAAGAUGUAAUAAAAAAAGCUGUUCAAUACACACUAAGACAUCGCCAACAUACUCUGCGAUCUGAUGCAUCUUUUCAAGUAGAAAUUCAGAAUAGUUUGUUAGCAGCUUGUCCAACGUACUGAACCAUUAGUAGAAUGCAACAGAGAGAAAAGGUAGGCAUAACAAAUAUAGCAGAAUGAGCAGGUUACGACACUAUAUUGGUUGAAUGUCGCAAGCAGCUAAGCUUUGCUCCUAGUGGUGACGAUUCUGAUGAUGUUUUCAUCACCACCAUAAGCCUUAUGCUGAAUCUUCUCAUGCAGAGUAAUCUGGCUUCUGAAUGUGCUUACCUUGUGUUGACCUCUGGUUCCUCAUAUCGCUAAGAGUUUACAAAGUGGCACCAAAAGCUGAAAAAAAAGGAAGACGGUUUAGUUAUCCAUCUACCAAAUAUUUUUUCAUAAAUAAACGGCAGUAAUAUGGACGGGAGUGUCAAAAUAAAUUUGAAGUUAACUCUUAACUGCUUUUUAUCCCGAAAAUGAUUGCAGUCAUCGCCAACCAAAAACAAUUUGCGCUACCUAGAUUAUAAACCUGCAGCCACAUAAAACAAAAUUAAGAUUUGCAUCAAUCAAGGGUUCUUAACAACUCAAAAUCAGCACCCAAGGAAUUGUCAGUAUCGAAUGAGCCAAGUCUCUUUUUGAAAUCCGAAGCCUCCCCCUCCUCCUCCCUCCCUCUCUCCCACCACUGACUUCUCCUUCAAUCACAGCAUCCCCGGCACCCCCAUCUUCCUCGCCCCAAAUCCCAAUGAAUCUCGCGCCGCAUCAAGGGACGCAAGAAUCGAAUCCCCAAGUAUAUUCAUCAACAAUCCGGGAAGAAACUCCCGGCCCCGGUGGUCCGGCCAUGUACACGGACCCGCUGCUCCCCACCACCGCGCGGCUGGCUGUCCACCCGUUGUCGGAACACACGCCGGUCCCCAACAUCGAUGCGACACCUUCCUUGUGCUGCCCAUCCCCGGCAUCCUCCUACAAAGACCACCUCAUCUUCAGGCCCACCACCCAUCGCCGCCACCCUCGCCUGGCUGGAGAAGUAGACCGGCCGUCGCGUAGAUCGGCCGGCGGCGGCGCCGCCCUACCCAAACGCAUCGAACAAGCCCGUGCUCGUAUGUGUUGCCCGCUCGUGUUUCCUCUUUUUCUCAGAUUAGACACUUUAAAAAGGACUGCAUGUUGAGCCAGCGCCAGCAUGCAACCGCUCACCUGGAUUUUCUCUCAACAAUCAACAAUACACAAUGAAUUCAGCAACCACCAUGAAUCAAGUCCCUGAUGGCGAGUUCAACAACACAUAUAACAACUAACACGAAUUACUCAUCAAUUAAGAACCAUUAAUCGAAUUCAGCAGCACAUACAGAUGCCUGGCCCACGCCCCUCCUGCUUCCAACUCCAUUGCAAGUGGUGAAUCAUGAAGAAAAAAAAUUGCAUCACCGGAACAGAGUGGAAGGGAAGGAGGGAUGGGGUUUUGAGGAGUUACCAUUCCUGUCGCCAGAGAGGAAGCUGCGUCCAUGUAGGCGAUGAAUAUGGCGCCGGAGGUGUGGAGGAAGAUGAGCAGGAGCGUCCGCUAGGGUUCGGAGCCGCCAUCGUCACUCUGCGAGGAGCUCGUGGUGGAGCCAGUUAUCCGGCUAUGGCGGGAACGCCAUGGCCGCCCUGCCUCCUCUCUUCUCACGACUGCGGCUAGGCGCUCGCACCACCGUGGCCGUGGAUCCGCGAAUCCCGCCGCCAUGUCGAGCUGGAACCCCACGUGCUUGGUCUGGAUCCAACCGUGGCGGGAGCGACAUGGGCUCGCCUCUCUAUAAGGGGGAAGGGAAGGGAAGUGAUAGGAGGGGAGGGGAGGGGAGGUCGCCGGUGCGGAGAGGCCGGCGGCAGAGGGGUGGCGGCGUCCCCUGAUGUAGCCGGGGUCGAGGGGGAUUUGGGAACGCUCGCGUGGAUAAGACAGAACAAUGGAGCGCGGGUUGAAUACUAAGAAGUGUAGGGUUCUUUUUGCAAAAAUGAAACGUUUUCUCACAUAUCCACUUAAAGUAGGACUGCGGGUUGAAUAGCAAGAAACACAGGGACUUUUCUGCAAAUUUCCGCGAUGACGUACGGCCAGAAGCAAUCGCUGGUUUAUAUAUAUAUAUAUAUAUAUAUAUACUAGCAAAAGAGCCUGUGCGUUGCAACGGAGAAAAAAUCACAUGUCCGUAAGCAUAUAUGUGUCAGCAUGUUUGAAGGAAUUGUAGUAGGGAAAUGUACAUACUUCUAGCCAAAUUGACAAUGAUCACUGAUGCACUUGCUAGGUUGCUUGCUCCGAAAAGCACCUCCUUGCGCCAUGGACGCCAACAUUUGAGUUCCUGGACCGGAUUCACCGAUGAUUGAUAGUGUCUCUAUCUUGCACAUGGUUCCGACUCCGCCCUAUCUGUAUCGCCC